This 1547-nucleotide unclassified non-coding RNA is filed under the name Leishmania donovani. Its description in RNAcentral is "gene:LdHU3.35.0180(CDS-product:coatomer_subunit_z eta_putative)". The record is from RNAcentral. Lineage: Eukaryota; Euglenozoa; Kinetoplastea; Trypanosomatida; Trypanosomatidae.
CUGUGCGCUGUUGAAAGGGAUAAAGAAAAAAACAAAGCGGCUCUUUUCGUGUCUGUGCGUGUACUCAACUCUGCUACCCUUUCUCACACACGUGCCUGCGCUUCUGCGUGCAGUCCACUCUCACCGGUCCGCAUAUUUUACCGCUCUGCUUCCUCUCAGAAUAAACGAGGAGCCAUUCAACCGUGCGUGCUCGCACCUCUCUCAUCAUUGCAAUGGCCUUCCUGCACCGAGUACAGGCGGUGGUGGCACUGAACAACACUGGCAGCCGCAUCUUUGCCAAGUACUUCAUCGGGGAGGGCACCCCCGAGUCUUCUAAGGCGCUGGCGCCUCUUGAAAAGCAGCGCUCGCUGGAGCACGCCGUCUUUCAAGCCAUUCACGACCCGCGACGCGGCAACCAUGUCGCCUACGAGAGCGAGAUUCUCGUGGUGGAAGGGCACAUUGCUCUCUUCCACAUCAGCGAAGAUGUUACGAUCAUUGUCAUUGGCGCCGGCUCUGAGAAUGAAGUUGUGCUGUCGAACGUGUUGAUGGGACUGGUAGAUGCACUGCGCCAAGAACUCAACACACCCUCUCUGACAGCGCGUUUGUUACUGGAGAACUACUGUGCUCUUCUCAUGACAAUCGAUGAGAUGCUAGAUGAGGGAAUCAUCCUAGAAACAGACUCGGCCACCGUGGCGAACGAUUUGGAACCCUACUUGGUCGACGUUAGCAACGACACGGCGCGGGCCGCCCUCACUGGUGUCAACAAGUACCUGCGUGAUAAUUUGUAGCCUUUCUCCCCCCUCUCCGUCUUCUCUCACUCGUUUUCGUGUUUGCUCAUCUAUCUGACGUCAUCUUAGUUGCAUUUUGUGCUCUCUUCUCCAUGUUUCCCUCUCUUCACCGCAACACCCGCUCGGCAGUUGCAUCGCCGAUAGCGCCACCGCCGAGCAGCUUCGCCGCUGCCGGGUGAGCAUGCCUCAAGCACUGUUGCAACGAGAGGGUGGCUAUGUGACUGGAGAGAGAAGAGUGUUAGUCUGUUUUCUGCGUGGGAGGUGUUAGUCGUACAUCUGACUAAAAUGCGAAAGAGAGCGGCGCCAACCGGUCUUGGAAAGGCCACUUUAGAAAGCAAGGAUAACUCCUUUUGCUUUUCAUGUGGGGUUUUCUUCUGUACACCUCGUCUUCUGACUCAGCGUCCGCGUAAGCACAGCUAAGUGCGCGAGACAGCAUCGCUGCUCUUGACACCAUGCAGUGUCUUUCCUGUUCUCCACAGAAGAGAGCUGACCAACAUGGACUCCGUCAAGUCAAUGUAACUCACGUGACUAUUUGCUUCUAUUAUUCUUACCUGUAGCGUCCCUGCUCUGUCACUCUAACGGACCUGUUGGGAGCCAUCUUCAUGCUGCACGUCUUUCACAUUGCCCUCCUGCGCUCUUCUUCUGCAUUGCUCCCUCUUCUUGCUCAUGCUUUCGAGCGCUAUCGCGCUCAACGUGCGCAUCGUCUUGAUUCCUCUCCCUGACCCGAUGUGCGCUGUUGCUGCUGCACUCUAUCAACACAUCUACCACCCGGUUCAUUAG